GUAGUGAUCGGCCUUUUGGUUAAGAUCAAGUAUAGUAUUUGUUUUUAUCAGUUUAAUAUCUAAUAUAUGAACCAUCAACCUCACUUAAUGUUAAUUUUUAAUUUUUAUAUCCAUUAUCCUAAAUUGGUGAUGUGAUUCUUCAUGCAUUGUCUUGAGCCUACAUUACUACUGCAUGCCACAACUUACGCACC
Molecule: small nuclear RNA, 191 nt
Organism: Cynara cardunculus var. scolymus (artichoke)
Lineage: Eukaryota; Viridiplantae; Streptophyta; Magnoliopsida; Asterales; Asteraceae
Product: U2 spliceosomal RNA
Exons: 1
Source: RefSeq, a predicted model, not a curated record